Molecule: ribosomal RNA, 109 nt
Filed under: uncultured eukaryote
Lineage: Eukaryota
Description: partial small subunit ribosomal RNA
Rfam family: Bacterial small subunit ribosomal RNA
Source: RNAcentral
ACCAGAAAUCGGGGGGCCAACCCGCAAGGGGGGUAGCCGCUUAAGGUAUGGUCGGUGAUUGGGGUGAAGUCGUAACAAGGUAGCUGUAGGUGAACCUGCAGAAGAAUCA